This 75-nucleotide transfer RNA is filed under the name Clostridium sp. CAG:813. Its description in RNAcentral is "transfer RNA-Gly(CCC)". It matches the Rfam family "tRNA". From Rfam's summary of the family: Transfer RNA (tRNA) molecules are approximately 80 nucleotides in length. Lineage: Bacteria; Bacillati; Bacillota; Clostridia; Eubacteriales; Clostridiaceae. RNAcentral also lists the same sequence under 12 other names. The record is from RNAcentral.
GCGGGCAUAGUUCAGUGGUAGAAUGUCUCCUUCCCAAGGAGAAGAUCGCGAGUUCGAGUCUCGUUGCCCGCUCCA